Molecule: long non-coding RNA, 483 nt
Organism: Triticum dicoccoides
Lineage: Eukaryota; Viridiplantae; Streptophyta; Magnoliopsida; Poales; Poaceae
Exons: 3
Source: RefSeq, a predicted model, not a curated record
GGAUAGCCCAACGGGGAGUGCUGCUACUUCUCCUACUCCUGGCUGGAUGAACGACAUGAAGGGUGCACCGGACAUUUCAACGUUGAGCAAUUCUGGACCAUCUACAGGUACCUCCUGGAGUUCUCAAGAUUUUGACCAUCCUCGAGAUAUAUCGGCCUAUGGUAUACUUCCUGAAAAUAGUAGUCCGGGAUCAACACCGUACCCUGACAUACCAAAGCCACCCCGAAAGGCUAGAAGGAAGAAAACUACCAAGAGCAGUUCGCCAACGGCAUCAUCGAGAUCAUCAAGGUCAUCAAGAUCAAGAUCUAAGGGUUCACUUUCAUCCACUACUCCUGACACCAUUGCCAAUGAUAUUCAACGUGAAAUCCGGAUUGUGUAGGCUGUCAUGUUUUGUACCCCCUUUCUCAGGAUUAUAGAAGUAUUUGAAAAACGACUUUGCAUAGGAAAUAGGAAUACAAACGUCAUUUAUUUUUUAUUGUUUCA